UGCACGCCGUAGCGGGCCGGCUCGCCGCCGUCGGCGCUGUCGCCGUCGGGCAGCAUGAAGUGGUUCAUCCCGCCCACGCGCAGC
RNAcentral lists this transfer RNA (84 nucleotides) under Vulcaniibacterium thermophilum. RNAcentral describes it as "tRNA-Asp". The record is from RNAcentral. Lineage: Bacteria; Pseudomonadati; Pseudomonadota; Gammaproteobacteria; Lysobacterales; Lysobacteraceae.